RNAcentral lists this ribosomal RNA (541 nucleotides) under Escherichia coli. Its description in RNAcentral is "partial 23S ribosomal RNA". It matches the Rfam family "Bacterial large subunit ribosomal RNA", at positions 1216 to 1758 of the family's 2925-position model. Lineage: Bacteria; Pseudomonadati; Pseudomonadota; Gammaproteobacteria; Enterobacterales; Enterobacteriaceae. The record is from RNAcentral.
AUGCGUUGUUGGGUAGGGGAGCGUUCUGUAAGCCUGUGAAGGUGUGCUGUGAGGCAUGCUGGAGGUAUCAGAAGUGCGAAUGCUGACAUAAGUAACGAUAAAGCGGGUGAAAAGCCCGCUCGCCGGAAGACCAAGGGUUCCUGUCCAACGUUAAUCGGGGCAGGGUGAGUCGACCCCUAAGGCGAGGCCGAAAGGCGUAGUCGAUGGGAAACAGGUUAAUAUUCCUGUACUUGGUGUUACUGCGAAGGGGGGACGGAGAAGGCUAUGUUGGCCGGGCGACGGUUGUCCCGGUUUAAGCGUGUAGGCUGGUUUUCCAGGCAAAUCCGGAAAAUCAAGGCUGAGGCGUGAUGACGAGGCACUACGGUGCUGAAGCAACAAAUGCCCUGCUUCCAGGAAAAGCCUCUAAGCAUCAGGUAACAUCAAAUCGUACCCCAAACCGACACAGGUGGUCAGGUAGAGAAUACCAAGGCGCUUGAGAGAACUCGGGUGAAGGAACUAGGCAAAAUGGUGCCGUAACUUCGGGAGAAGGCACGCUGAUAUG